Molecule: ribosomal RNA, 497 nt
Filed under: uncultured bacterium
Lineage: Bacteria
Description: partial 16S ribosomal RNA
Rfam family: Bacterial small subunit ribosomal RNA
Source: RNAcentral
GAUGAACGCUGGCGGCGUGCCUAAUACAUGCAAGUCGAGCGAACAGAUGAGGAGCUUGCUCCUCUGACGUUAGCGGCGGACGGGUGAGUAACACGUGGAUAACCUACCUAUAAGACUGGGAUAACUACGGGAAACCGGAGCUAAUACCGGAUAAUAUAUUGUACCGCAUGGUUCAAUAGUGAAAGACGGUUUUGCUGUCACUUAUAGAUGGAUCCGCGCCGCAUUAGCUAGUUGGUAAGGUAACGGCUUACCAAGGCAACGAUGCGUAGCCGACCUGAGAGGGUGAUCGGCCACACUGGAACUGAGACACGGUCCAGACUCCUACGGGAGGCAGCAGUAGGGAAUCUUCCGCAAUGGGCGAAAGCCUGACGGAGCAACGCCGCGUGAGUGAUGAAGGUCUUCGGAUCGUAAAACUCUGUUAUUAGGGAAGAACAAAUGUGUAAGUAACUAUGCACGUCUUGACGGUACCUAAUCAGAAAGCCACGGCUAACUACGUG